GAUGAACGCUGGCGGCGUGCCUAAUACAUGCAAGUCGAGCGAACAGAUGAGGAGCUUGCUCCUCUGACGUUAGCGGCGGACGGGUGAGUAACACGUGGAUAACCUACCUAUAAGACUGGGAUAACUUCGGGAAACCGGAGCUAAUACCGGAUAAUAUAUUGAACCGCAUGGUUCAAUAGUGAAAGACGGUUUUGCUGUCACUUAUAGAUGGAUCCGCGCCGCAUUAGCUAGUUGGUAAGGUAACGGCUUACCAAGGCGACGAUGCGUAGCCGACCUGAGAGAGUGAUCGGCCACACUGGAACUGAGACACGGUCCAGACUCCUACGGGAGGCAGCAGUAGGGAAUCUUCCGCAAUGGGCGAAAGCUUGACGGAGCAACGCCGCGUGAGUGAUGAAGGUCUUCGGAGCGUAAAACUCUGUUAUUAGGGAAGAACAAAUGUGUAAGUAACUAUGCACGUCUUGGCGGUACCUAAUCAGAAAGCCACGGCUAACUACGUG
Molecule: ribosomal RNA, 497 nt
Filed under: uncultured bacterium
Lineage: Bacteria
Description: partial 16S ribosomal RNA
Rfam family: Bacterial small subunit ribosomal RNA
Source: RNAcentral